AUGAUAGGUUUCAGAGAAAGAGAAAGGUCAACAAGAGAAAAGAGGGUUUCUUUAACAAGAGCUUCAAUUUUGUUGUUGUGGGUCAUGUUAGUUUUUGCUCUUAUAUUAAUCUUGUUUUUCUCCAUCAACAAUGAAACUAACCACAACAACAACAAGAACCAUUCAAUUCGGUUACUCCGACAACAACCGCAGCAACAGAAACAACAACAACGUAGUUUCAACAAAGCACUAUUGUUUCAUGCAACUCCAACAAAAAGAACAAGAACAAGAACAAGAACUAGAACUACUCGUAUUGAUGAUCAAGCUGGCGUUCCAGAAAAAGCAUUUUAUGAUGAAGAGAAAAGAGUAAUUCACACUGGUCCAAAUCCUCUUCACAACUAG
Non-coding RNA from Vicia faba (fava bean), 381 nucleotides. NCBI's taxonomy places the organism in Eukaryota, Viridiplantae, Streptophyta, Magnoliopsida, Fabales, Fabaceae. The record is from the annotation of a GenBank genome assembly.